Non-coding RNA from Taeniopygia guttata (zebra finch), 1366 nucleotides. NCBI's taxonomy places the organism in Eukaryota, Metazoa, Chordata, Aves, Passeriformes, Estrildidae. The record is from RefSeq and is a predicted model, not a curated record.
UUGGGCUGUUGGGUGAAUUAACAACAUCAGUGCAUUGUGAAAUAGCUUUCUACUUAGAUCAGAUGAGGUCUUCUAGGUACAAACUACCAAAAAAAUCACUCAUCAGCAAGAAUGGCUAUGGAGCACAGGGCCCCAGAGAGCACAAAAAUACACAGUGUGGGCAGAUCAACAGCCACCUGUGAGUUUUUUUCUCUGGCAGCUGACCACAAAAGCCACACUGCCUGGGAACUCAAAGCUGUAUAAAGGUUCUAAGAACUCUUAAAUCCUGACUGGGAUCAGAGUUGUGUUGUGCUGUGAAACAGAUAUGUCCUCACGGUGUUAGAAACUUCUCUAGCUUACAGAUCUUUCUAGUAACACUGAAAAUGUUACUGGGUAGACAAUGACUGUAACAUGGAAGACUGAGCAGUCCGAAAGUCAUCCACAGCUACCACAGCUACCAGUUUCCUGAAGCUGGUAUCACCAGUGUAGGAGUAAGCCCUUGCUCUCAAAGGUGACUGGAUGAGAACCCCAUGGAGGCCACUUGGAGCAGCCUUUAUUCCCACUGUAACUCUCAUUUUGUGCUACACUCAGAACCUGCAUCCCUAUUUCGCCACAUGUUCCCUUAUGUACACUAGGGGAUAAUAACAAAUUAUUGAAAUCAUAAGAGUGAGUACAGAGCUCCCAGAAUGGAAACCCCACUGAAUUCAAGAUCUGACACAAGCAGGACAAAACCAAUUUUUAGAUCAUAAUGCUCACCAUUAACCUGUAUGAUAAAAAAUUGUCCUUGUCUUUAGCUGCUGUCAGGCCAUUCAGCUGUGUUUGUUACCAUCCUCCUCCCUUCUAUGGAGAGAUGUCCACUGCAGAGUUAUCUCAGACACAGCAGAGUUAAAUCUGAUCUGUUUUCACUGCAGUCUCAUCAUCAAUAAACUCAUUCAAAUGGAGUAAAGGCUGCAUAGGAACAUACUGCUUUUUGAUGAACUCUUUCCCCAUUGACUUGUCUUGCCCACUGCCUUGUCAUGAAGAACAUCUUUUCAUCUGAUCACAGUGGUAGCUCUUUAUAGCUUUGGACUUGUAUUGCACCCAGGUACUGUUUACCAUUUUAAACUGACAAAUUUCAAGUCAAUAAGAGAUUCAAUUUUGUAUUAGUACUGUGGAGUACCCCAAUUCUCAAAAUCAUGUAAUGUUUAAAACGGCCAAAUAUAUCCCAAUUUACCUUCUCAGUGAUGUGAAGUUAGCAGUGUUAAAACUUACUUUUUAAAACUAUUUUUGAAGUAUUAAGUAAAAUCAGUUAUUGUGGAACUUUACUUGUAAAUCCCCUGCCAACCCAAUGUUUCAACUUUUGAUUUUCCCCUUCAGACAGUUUGAAUAAAACCAAACAUGUUUAAUG